This 550-nucleotide ribosomal RNA is filed under the name uncultured Bacteroidota bacterium. RNAcentral describes it as "bacterial SSU rRNA". It matches the Rfam family "Bacterial small subunit ribosomal RNA", at positions 8 to 554 of the family's 1533-position model. Lineage: Bacteria; Pseudomonadati; Bacteroidota. The record is from RNAcentral.
AGAGUUUGAUCCUGGCUCAGGAUGAACGCUAGCGGCAGGCUUAACACAUGCAAGUCGAGGGGUAAUCUCGAUCUUCGGAUCGGGAACGACCGGCGCACGGGUGCGUAACGCGUAUACAAUUUACCUUAAACUGGGAGAUAGCCCGAAGAAAUUUGGAUUAAUAUCCCAUAUCUUUUAUGAAUGGCAUCAUUUAUAGAAUAAAGUUUCGAUGGUUUAAGAUGAGUAUGCGUCCUAUUAGCUAUUAUGAGAGGUAACGGCUCCCAUAGGCUAUGAUAGGUAGGGGUUCUGAGAGGGAUACCCCCCACACUGGUACUGAGACACGGACCAGACUCCUACGGGAGGCAGCAGUGAGGAAUAUUGGACAAUGGGAGCAAUCCUGAUCCAGCCAUGCCGCGUGCAGGAAGACAGUCCUAUGGAUUGUAAACUGCUUUUAUACAGGAAGAAAAAGCCCGACUUGUCGGGUGUUGACGGUACUGUACGAAUAAGAAUCGGCUAACUCCGUGCCAGCAGCCGCGGUAAUACGGAGGAUUCGAGCGUUAUCCGGAAUCAU